RNAcentral lists this ribosomal RNA (494 nucleotides) under uncultured bacterium. RNAcentral describes it as "partial 16S ribosomal RNA". It matches the Rfam family "Bacterial small subunit ribosomal RNA", at positions 28 to 507 of the family's 1533-position model. The record is from RNAcentral.
GACGAACGCUGGCGGCGUGCUUAACACAUGCAAGUCGAACGGAAAGGCCUGCUUUCCCUUGUGGAUUGCGGGUACUCGAGUGGCGAACGGGUGAGUAACACGUGAGUGAUCUGCCCCCAACUUGGGUAUAAGCCUGGGAAACUGGGUCUAAUUCCCGAUAGGACUGCAGGGUGGUGCCUGUGGUGGAAAACGAUUUUCUAGUGGUUGGGGAUGAGCUCGCGGCCUAUCAGCUUGUUGGUGGGGUAAUGGCCUACCAAGGCGGCGACGGGUAGCCGGCCUGAGAGGGUGGACGGCAACAUUGGGACUGAGAAACGGCCCAGACUCCUACGGGAGGCAGCAGUGGGGAAUAUUGCACAAUGGGCGGAAGCAUGAUGCAGCGACGCAGCGUGGGGGAUGACGGCCUUCGGGUUGUAAACUCCUUUCGACCGCGAGGAAGCCACCUGGUUGGAAGGGUGGUGACGGUAGUGGUAGAAGAAGCACCGGCUAACUACGUG